GUACACACCGCCCGUCGCUGCCUAGAACUGAGUCGAUUCGAGAAGAUAGAGGAGAAAAUAUGUGUAUGCAAAUACAUGUAUAUUGAAUCUAUUUGAUCGUAUUGGUUUGAACCAGGCAAAAGUCGUAACAAGGUGGCCGUAGGUGAACCUGCGGGCCGGAUCAUUA
Molecule: ribosomal RNA, 166 nt
Filed under: Panagrolaimus paetzoldi
Lineage: Eukaryota; Metazoa; Nematoda; Chromadorea; Rhabditida; Panagrolaimidae
Description: partial 18S ribosomal RNA
Rfam family: Eukaryotic small subunit ribosomal RNA
Source: RNAcentral